AUCGGGAGAACCCAACAGGGAUUACCUCAGUAACGGCGAGUGAAGCGGUAACAGCUCAAAUUUGAAAUCUGGCCUCACGGUCCGAGUUGUAAUUUGUAGAGGAUGCUUCGAGCAUGGUCUGGCCUAAGUUCCUUGGAACAGGACGUCAUAGAGGGUGAGAAUCCCGUAUGCGGCCAGGUGCCUACGCUCAUGUGAAGCUCCUUCGACGAGUCGAGUUGUUUGGGAAUGCAGCUCAAAAUGGGUGGUAAAUUUCAUCUAAAGCUAAAUAUUGGCCAGAGACCGAUAGCGCACAAGUAGAGUGAUCGAAAGAUGAAAAGCACUUUGGAAAGAGAGUUAAACAGUACGUGAAAUUGUUGAAAGGGAAGCGCUUGCAACCAGACUUGCGCGCGGCCGAUCAUCCGGUGUUCUCACCGGUGCACUCGGCCGUGCUCAGGCCAGCAUCGGUUUUGGCGGCUGGAUAAAGGCCCUAGGAAUGUAGCUCCUCUCGGGGAGUGUUAUAGCCUAGGGUGCAAUGCAGCCUGCUGGGACCGAGGACCGCGCUUCGGCUAGGAUGCUGGCGUAAUGGUUGUAAGCGGCCCGUCUUGAAACACGGACCAAGGAGUCUAACAUCUAUGCGAGUGUUUGGGUGUCAAACCCAUACGCGUAAUGAAAGUGAACGGAGGUGAGAACCCUUAAGGGUGCAUCAUCGACCGGUCCUGAAGUUUACGGAAGGAUCUGAGUAAGAGCAUAGCUGUUGGGACCCGAAAGAUGGUGAACUAUGCCUGAAUAGGGUGAAGCCAGAGGAAACUCUGGUGGAGGCUCGCAGCGGUUCUGACGUGCAAAUCGAUCGUCAAAUUUGGGUAUAGGGGCGAAAGACUAAUCGACCAUCCAAUGGC
This 875-nucleotide ribosomal RNA is filed under the name Pseudogymnoascus sp. RNAcentral describes it as "partial large subunit ribosomal RNA". It matches the Rfam family "Eukaryotic large subunit ribosomal RNA", at positions 54 to 951 of the family's 3401-position model. The record is from RNAcentral. Lineage: Eukaryota; Fungi; Ascomycota; Leotiomycetes; Thelebolales; Thelebolaceae.